This 167-nucleotide ribosomal RNA is filed under the name uncultured bacterium. RNAcentral's name for it is "partial 16S ribosomal RNA". It matches the Rfam family "Bacterial small subunit ribosomal RNA", at positions 348 to 507 of the family's 1533-position model. The record is from RNAcentral.
GCAGCAGUGGGGAAUAUUGCACAAUGAGCGCAAGCCUGAUGCAGCCAUGCCGCGUGUAUGAAGAAGGCCUUCGGGUUGUAAAGUACUUUCAGCGGGGAGGAAGGUGUUGAGGUUAAUAACCUCAGCAAUUGACGUUACCCGCAGAAGAAGCACCGGCUAACUCCGUG